RNAcentral lists this ribosomal RNA (254 nucleotides) under uncultured bacterium. RNAcentral's name for it is "partial 16S ribosomal RNA". It matches the Rfam family "Bacterial small subunit ribosomal RNA", at positions 79 to 334 of the family's 1533-position model. The record is from RNAcentral.
CUUUCUUUGCUGGCGACCGGCGCGCGGGUGAGUAACACGUAUCCAACCUGCCCUUUACUCGGGGAUAGCCUUUCGAAAGAAAGAUUAAUACCCGAUAGUAUAAUGAUUCCGCAUGGUUUCAUUAUUAAAGGAUUCCGGUAAAGGAUGGGGAUGCGUUCCAUUAGGUUGUUGGUGAGGUAACGGCUCACCAAGCCUUCGAUGGAUAGGGGUCCUGAGAGGAAGGUCCCCCACAUUGGAACUGAGACACGGUCCAA